CCGACGGUGAGGGGUGAAAGCUGGGGGAGCAAACCGGAUUAGAUACCCGGGUAGUCCCAGCUGUAAACGAUGCAAACUCGAUGAUGCGUUGGCUUGUUGCUAGCGCAGUGUCGCAGGGAAGCCGUUAAGUUUGCCGCCUGGGAAGUACGUACGCAAGUAUGAAACUUAAAGGAAUUGGCGGGGGAGCACCACAAGGGGUGAAGCCUGCGGUUCAAUUGGAGUCAACGCCUGAAACCUUACCCGGAGAGACAGCAGAAUGAAGGUCAAGCUGAAGACUUUACCAGACAAGCUGAGAGGUGGUGCAUGGCCGUCGCCAGCUCGUGCCGUGAGAUGUCCUGUUAAGUCAGGUAACGAGCGAGAUCCCUGCCUCUAGUUGCCACUAUUACACCCUGGUGUAGUAGGGCGAAUUAGGGGGACCGCCGCAGUUAAUGCGGAGGAAGGAAGGGGCCACGGCAGGUCAGUAUGCCCCGAAACUCUGGGGCCACACGCGGGCUGCAAUGGUAGCGACAAUGAGUUCCAAAAUCGAAAGAUGGAGGUAAUCCCUAAACGCUACCACAGUUGUGAUUGAGGGCUGCAACUCGCCCUCAUGAACAUGGAAUCCCUAGUAACUGCGUGUCAUUAUCGCGCAGUGAAUACGUCCCUGCUCCUUGCACACACCGCCCGU
This 664-nucleotide ribosomal RNA is filed under the name uncultured archaeon. RNAcentral's name for it is "bacterial SSU rRNA". It matches the Rfam family "Archaeal small subunit ribosomal RNA", at positions 691 to 1353 of the family's 1478-position model. The record is from RNAcentral.